Molecule: ribosomal RNA, 425 nt
Filed under: uncultured bacterium
Lineage: Bacteria
Description: bacterial SSU rRNA
Rfam family: Bacterial small subunit ribosomal RNA
Source: RNAcentral
CGCAAGCCUGAUGCAGCCAUGCCGCGUGUAUGAAGUAAGGCCUUCGGGUUGUAAAGUACUUUCAGCAGUGAGGAAGGCAGGUACGUUAAUAGCGUGCUUGUUUGACGUUAGCUGCAGAAGAAGCACCGGCUAACUCCGUGCCAGCAGCCGCGGUAAUACGGAGGGUGCGAGCGUUAAUCGGAAUUACUGGGCGUAAAGCGCAUGCAGGUGGUUUGUUAAGUCAGAUGUGAAAGCCCGGGGCUCAACCUCGGAAUUGCAUUUGAAACUGGCAGACUAGAGUACUGUAGAGGGGGUAGAAUUUCAGGUGUAGCGGUGAAAUGCGUAGAGAUCUGAAGGAAUACCGGUGGCGAAGGCGGCCCCCUGGACAGAUACUGACACUCAGAUGCGAAAGCGUGGGGAGCAAACAGGAUUAGAUACCCUGGUAG